This 428-nucleotide ribosomal RNA is filed under the name uncultured bacterium. RNAcentral describes it as "partial 16S ribosomal RNA". It matches the Rfam family "Bacterial small subunit ribosomal RNA", at positions 354 to 796 of the family's 1533-position model. The record is from RNAcentral.
GUGGGGAAUAUUGGGCAAUGGGGGAAACCCUGACCCAGCAACGCCGCGUGAGGGAAGAAGGUUUUCGGAUUGUAAACCUCUGUCCUUGGUGACGAAGGAAGUGACGGUAACCAAGGAGGAAGCCCCGGCUAACUACGUGCCAGCAGCCGCGGUAAUACGUAGGGGGCAAGCGUUGUCCGGAAUGACUGGGCGUAAAGGGCGUGUAGGCGGCCGAUUAAGUCUGGAGUGAAAGUCCUGCUUUCAAGGUGGGAAUUGCUUUGGAGACUGGUUGGCUUGAGUGCGGAAGAGGUAAGUGGAAUUCCCAGUGUAGCGGUGAAAUGCGUAGAGAUUGGGAGGAACACCAGUGGCGAAGGCGACUUACUGGACGAUGUCUGACGCUGAGGCGCGAAAGCUAGGGGAGCGAACGGGAUUAGAAACCCCGGUAGUCC